RNAcentral lists this ribosomal RNA (505 nucleotides) under uncultured bacterium. Its description in RNAcentral is "bacterial SSU rRNA". It matches the Rfam family "Bacterial small subunit ribosomal RNA", at positions 903 to 1397 of the family's 1533-position model. The record is from RNAcentral.
AAAUGAAUAGACGGGGGUCCGCACAAGCGGUGGAGCAUGUGGUUUAAUUCGAAGCUAACCGAAGAACCUUACCAGGGAAUGACAUGGAGAUAAGGGUAUAGAGAUAUAUCCAAGUAUUACUUAGGUGAUACAGUCUCACACAGGUGGUGCACGGCCGUCGUCAGCUCGUGCCGUGAGGUGUUGGGUUAAGUCCCACAACGAGCGCAACCCCUACCAUUAGUUGCCAGCGAGUAAAGUUGGGCUACUCUAAUGGGACAGCCGUCGACGAGACGGAGGAAGGAGGGGAUGACGUCAGGUAAGCGUGCCCCUUAUGCUCUGGGCGACACACGUGCUACAAUGGUACGGGCAGAGGGCAGCGAAACUGCGAAGUGAAGCGAAUCUCAUAAACCGUGCCGUAAUUCGGAUUGUAGUCUGAAACCCGACUACAUGAAACCGGAAUCGCUAGUAAUCGCAGGUCAGCCAAACUGCGGUGAAUACGUUCCCGGACCUUGUACACACCGCCCGU